AGAUGUGAGGGCAAUCUGUCACACUCCUCUGGUCUCCAGGGUUGAUCCUGCUGGUGUGGCUNGGCUAGGCAGGUCCCCUUCCUCCUGCUCUGUGUGUGUCCUUCCCAAAGCCGGUGCUCAGACCAAGAGGAUGACCCUCCCCAACAGAUGUGCUCCUGCGCUGGAAACAAACUGCUCUCACUCUGACUUAAAAAUCUUUAAAUUGCAUUUAUUAUGUAUGUUUGUGUGUGUGAAUGCACACACAUGCAUGCCAU
Molecule: small nuclear RNA, 254 nt
Filed under: Neotoma lepida (desert woodrat)
Lineage: Eukaryota; Metazoa; Chordata; Mammalia; Rodentia; Cricetidae
Description: 7SK RNA
Rfam family: 7SK RNA
About the family: 7SK was discovered as an abundant small nuclear RNA in the mid-70s but a possible function has only recently been suggested.
Source: Rfam by way of RNAcentral